GACGAACGCUGGCGGCGUGCUUAACACAUGCAAGUCGAACGGUGAAGCGCUUGCCUUUUUGGUGGGUGUGGAUGAGUGGCGAACGGGUGAGUAACACGUGAGUAACCUGCCCUCUUCUUCUGGAUAACCUCAUGAAAGUGGGGCUAAUACGGGGUAUUCCGGGUCUGUCGCAUGGCGGGUUUGGGAAAGAUUGCGCCUUUGGGUGUUUUCGGUGGGGGAUGGGCUCGCGGCCUAUCAGCUUGUUGGUGGGGUGAUGGCCUACCAAGGCGGUGACGGGUAGCCGGCCUGAGAGGGUGGACGGCCACACUGGGACGGAGACACGGCCCAGACUCCUGCGGGAGACAGCAGUGGGGAAUAUUGCACAAUGGGCGCAAGCCUGAUGCAGCGACGCCGCGUGAGGGAUGGAGGCCUUCGGGUUGUGAACCUCUUUCGCCAGUGAAGCAGGCCUGCUCCUGUGUGGGUGGGUUGACGGUAGCUGGAUAAGAAGCGCCGGCUAACUACGUG
This 504-nucleotide ribosomal RNA is filed under the name uncultured bacterium. RNAcentral describes it as "partial 16S ribosomal RNA". It matches the Rfam family "Bacterial small subunit ribosomal RNA", at positions 28 to 507 of the family's 1533-position model. The record is from RNAcentral.